This 540-nucleotide ribosomal RNA is filed under the name Marginella sergioi. RNAcentral describes it as "partial 12S ribosomal RNA". Lineage: Eukaryota; Metazoa; Mollusca; Gastropoda; Neogastropoda; Marginellidae. The record is from RNAcentral.
AAUACUAGAGGGCUGAAUUAUAUCUUUAGUGGCUGUAAAGAUAGUUUGGCGGAUAAAUUUAAUUAUCUAUUUUUAAAUGGGAAGGUGAAAUUUUCAUUUUAAAUUAUUAUUUAAUGGUAAUAUUAGUGUGUUGAUUCUAUUAUAUUUUUGUGAGAGACUGGGAUUAGAUACCCCAUUAUUCUUAAACUUAAAUUGUUUUAACUGCCGGAGUACUACGAGUAAAUACUUAAAACUUAAAAAACUUGGCGGUGCUUUAAAUUUUUUAGGGGAACUUGUCUCGUAAUCGAUAAUCCACGUUAUAUCUGUUUUAAGCUUGUGGUCUGCUUGUAUACCGUCGUUUAGUUAAUUUUAGAGAAAAUAGAAGUUAGCGAUGUAGAUUAAGUAAGUCUAAAUGUCAGAUCAAGGUGCAGUUUAUGCUUGAAUGAGGAUGAGUUACAAUUAUAAAAUUUAUAACAGAUAAUUUAUUGAAAUAUAGAUUUAAAGCUGGACUUAAAAGUAAGUUUACGUAUAAAAAUAUAUUGAAUUUUAUUUAAAGCGUGU